GUAUGUUUCUCACCUCGUUAAUCAGAACUCAGCAUUUCUUUUUAAACUAGGGAAUUUCCACUUGCUGAAUUCACUGACUAGACAUAGGAUUCAUCUGAGAUGGAAUCUCUGGACAAAAUGGAGUCCUGAAAGAAAUGCCCUUAGUUUAAAUUGAAGACUCUACUAUUGGUUUGUUCCUGAAAUGUUGUGAUUUAAGAAAGUUCAUGUGAGGUGAAAGAGAACAAGAAGAAGAAACAGACAGCAAUUAAGACACACUGCCAAACAUCUGGAGGAGAGAGGAAAAGAAUUAUGGGAAACCAGAUGGAAAGAGUGCUGGCCAGAUAAAAAUGACAGCAAAGUUUCUUCAGAAUGCUGAAUUUGCUGCCUCCUCUGAAACUUUAAUCUGCCAGGGUGAAAUGAAAACAGG
Molecule: long non-coding RNA, 406 nt
Filed under: Phascolarctos cinereus (koala)
Lineage: Eukaryota; Metazoa; Chordata; Mammalia; Diprotodontia; Phascolarctidae
Description: lncRNA (ENSPCIG00000018776.2)
Source: RNAcentral